GGUCCUGACUAGCUCAACUGGUAGGGCAAGGCAUUGAUGUUGCCAGGGUUGGGGGGUCGUGUUCCCCUGGGACCA
Non-coding RNA from Merluccius polli (Benguela hake), 75 nucleotides. NCBI's taxonomy places the organism in Eukaryota, Metazoa, Chordata, Actinopteri, Gadiformes, Merlucciidae. The record is from the annotation of a GenBank genome assembly.